GACGUAGGGGGCGAGCGUUGUCCGGAUUUAUUGGGCGUAAAGAGCUCGUAGGCGGCUCAGAAAGUCGGGUGUGAAACCUCCAGGCUCAACCUGGAGACGCCACCUGAUACUGCUGUGGCUAGAGUCCGGUAGGGGAACACGGAAUUCCCGGUGUAGCGGUGAAAUGCUUAGAUAUCGAGAGGAACACCGGUGGCGAAGGCGGCGAUCUGGACGAUGACUGACGCUGAGACGCGAAAGCGUGGGGAGCAAACAGG
RNAcentral lists this ribosomal RNA (254 nucleotides) under uncultured bacterium. RNAcentral describes it as "partial 16S ribosomal RNA". It matches the Rfam family "Bacterial small subunit ribosomal RNA", at positions 524 to 776 of the family's 1533-position model. The record is from RNAcentral.